Molecule: long non-coding RNA, 2157 nt
Filed under: Nicotiana benthamiana
Lineage: Eukaryota; Viridiplantae; Streptophyta; Magnoliopsida; Solanales; Solanaceae
Description: long non-coding RNA (NBEN_LNC028464)
Source: RNAcentral
UUCUUGAUAUAUUCUUCAAAAACUUCCCUGCAAGUAAAGUAAUAUUUUUAUCCCUAUGCUUCUAAUUUCUUCAUUUCAGAGUAAAAAGGAGAGAACAUAUACCUAAAACAUUCAGGUUUUUCUGGCCAGAAUUGGAGUUUUCUUAUGUUGUGCGGCAUCACAUUUAGAUACAAUCUGUCGGUCAAUCAAGUGUUUGCUUUUCUGAAAGAACUGAAUCAUUUCCGUAUCUUUCAAUGUCAUCAACUGUUCUGCCAUAUUUAAGCUUCUCUUCAGUUGGAAGUGCAAAGAACUGUUUGCUAAUAUUUCGCACUUUGUCAAGAAAUGAAUCUGCUAUUCCAUGAUUUAUGACCUGAAUUUGAAAUAUUACCCCAUACAUAUUUGAAUUUGAAAUUCCACCUUUGGAACACUUUGGUAAUGCCCCCAAAUAAUGAUUUUUUAAGCUGAAUGAUAUAGACUUGAUUUAACUUGGCCUGAUCUAGGCUAGAGACAGACCUACACCAAGAUAAUCAACUUGUUCUAGUCGAUCUUAGUAUUGGUGUCUUUUUGUGGAUUGUCAUUUCAAGUAUUGCUCCUGUUGGGCUUCGAUAUGGAUCAAAUAAUAAAUAAUUAAGUACUGAAAGUCAGACCUGGAAGCAGCCACAAGACUUGAGACCAGAUUGAAGUUUGUUGAGCUCUUGUUCUCGGGCCAGGGAAUGGGAUGAUGAAAUGAUAAGACUAAGAUCAACUUCUGGUACAUCCAGCAAUGGAGGAAAUGUAUGGAUUGAGCCUUGAGUAUGAAUAUACUUUUCCGGAAUUUCAUUGUUGUUUGCCAGUUCUUGAACUGACUUGAAAACUGUUUCUACGUUUGCAACAGGAGGAAAAGUUUCAGCCAUGGUUUCGGUAAGAAGUAAAAUCUAGGUUAGUUGCAGAUCUUGUUGUUUGCUUCUUUUUUUUCGUUUUUUAACAGUUGAUGUAAACUAGAAUAGGUGGUUUGACUUUUUUUGGUAGCUGGAAAAAUACAGUCUAUCUUUUUUUUUUUUUUGGGUAUUUAAGACAUGCAUUAAAAGACAUACUAAGAGUCAUUGCAUAGUUCAUUACAAACGGGAAUUGUUCUAGGACACAGAGUUCCUAGCUUGUCCCUUUCUAAAAUAGAGUUAACAAAAGUAGGAGUACUAAGAUAAGUAGUUAAACAUCCAAAAGUAGUUGAGUUGCUUCCAUUCUUCGCCAUUGAAUCAGUCGCCUGGUUUGCCUCUCUGAAGGCGUGCUGUAAUAGCGGAUCACCUGCUCUACUCAAUAGGCAUCUGCAAUCAUCAAUUACGUUAAGAGGACAGUUCUUAUUAAGGAUUAAGUUAAUAAGCUCUUUACAAUCUGUUUCGAUGACAAGGGGUAGGUAGUUGUUGUCUAUUAGCUAUCUUCAGUCCAUGCAUUAGUGCCAGUGUUUCCAUAUAUAUGUUAGUAGCAUGUGAAAUACCCAUGUUAUAUCCCAGCACCCAUUCCCCGGUGUGAUUACGAAUGAUUCCCCCUAUUCCGCCUUUACCCGGGUUGCCCAUACAUGAACCAUCCACAUUCAAUUUUAUAGCAGUUUUCUUCCGGAGGAUUCCAUUUAAUAAGGAUGGUGUCCCUAGGCGUAGCAAUCCGGAAUUGGUUUGUUGCUAGAAGUUUAUAUUCCAUGGCUUUAUUAAUGAUGUUUUCUAAUAUGAGAUAUUUGUUAUUAUUUUUGAAUAUCGUCUCAUUUCUUUUUUCAACAGAAAGUAUCAUAUGCCAUUUAAUAAGGAUGGUGUCCCUAGGCGUAGCAAUCCGGAAUUGGUUUGUUGCUAGAAGUUUAUAUUCCAUGGUUUUAUUAAUGAUGUUUUUUAAUAGGAGAGCUUUGUUAUCAUUUUUGAAUAUCGUCUCAUUCCUGUGCAGCUAGAUGUGCCAGAGGACAAAAGGGAGGAUUUCAAACCAAACGAGAUAUUCAUUAUAAAUAGUAGAAGAUUCACAUUGAGUUUUUAGCCAGUGGUGAAGAGUGUAUUUAGCAGGCGGUUCCGGAGGUAGUUUGCUAAAGCCCGCUUGAGCCCAAAUAAUUUUGGAGUUCUUGCAUUUGAAGAGCACGUGGAAUAUAUCUUCCCUCUCAAUGCUGCAAAAGUGGCAAGUUGGAGAGUUGGUUAUAUUUCUAUUGAAGAGCAUUUGUGCCGUUGG